AUUCUUUCUCGUGACUGCUUUGUGCGAUAACAGUUCUUUUUGAGAGUCGACACAGCAAACGAUGCCAACCCUCCUUCAAUUUGUCUCUAUUCCCUACAUCAAGAGCAUCCUUCUCUGAACUGAAAGUAUUGCAGAACAUAUGUCGGGAAUGCAUCUUGGUUCAGUUCUUUACAAGAGAUGAAGUUCAGAA
This is a non-coding RNA of Chiloscyllium plagiosum (whitespotted bambooshark), 190 nucleotides long. NCBI's taxonomy places the organism in Eukaryota, Metazoa, Chordata, Chondrichthyes, Orectolobiformes, Hemiscylliidae. The record is from RefSeq and is a predicted model, not a curated record.